UGUUGAUAAUAACAUUGUAGUUCCGAUUUUUUCCUUGCUUAGUUUGUAUUAUUAUAAGUCUGCCAUUCUGUCCGCUGAGUUCUUGAGCCGUCGUUUACUCUCUUGGACAGCACAGCGAGAAAACUCAAUUUCCUCCUCCACGUCUACGUUCGCUCGACUUCAAUUCGAACCAAAAAAAUCUCCGACAGCCCGCACAACCCAUCAAACCCUAGAAAUCAUUUCUUUUUUUGGGCAUCCGGAGGGCUCCUCCUUAUUUGUCUCUGCUCUUUGUUCUCUCCAUUCGAUUCAAUUUCGUCUAUCAAAACGUUAUGUAGUUCUACCAAAAGGUUAUGGAGUUCAAUGCGCGAGGAAUUAUCUGCAUACCUGAAGGAUGAAUUUAAGGCCAAAGAAGCCCAGAGAAAAGCUAUUGAAGUAAGAAGUGAAGAGCUAAAGCAGCAUUUGAAAGUAUGAUUUAAGUUUUACUCUGUACUUACACAAGAUACUCCUGACAUUUCAAAUACAGUAACUUCCCAAACACUGAUAAUUUGGUUUUCUAUUGGUAUAUGUGAAACCAGCUUGAUAUACGUUACAAGGUUGAGGGUUGAGGAUAGUUGGCAAAUAACAAAAGUAAUUUAUUGUCUAGCGUAUAUAAUAAAACCAACCAUAGAAUAAGAGUGUCGUUUUGCUCUAAGUUUUUGAAUUAAUGUAAGAAUGGUUUUCUUAUUUAACUUGCCAAAUGCAUAAAUAAUUAGAUUAUUCUGUAGUAUUUUGCUGUGGUGGUAUUAAUUUUUUUUUGAGUACAUCGUAUUUUUACACUAAAGGGAGGAGGAGUUCGGCUAAGCCACACAAUGGAAA
Non-coding RNA from Malus domestica (apple), 834 nucleotides. Lineage: Eukaryota; Viridiplantae; Streptophyta; Magnoliopsida; Rosales; Rosaceae. The record is from RefSeq and is a predicted model, not a curated record.